This 4131-nucleotide long non-coding RNA is filed under the name Brassica napus (rape). RNAcentral describes it as "long non-coding RNA (BNAP_LNC008310)". The record is from RNAcentral. Lineage: Eukaryota; Viridiplantae; Streptophyta; Magnoliopsida; Brassicales; Brassicaceae.
GAGUUGAAGUUGAACUGGUGAGUGGCCAAGACUUCGACGAACUUGGCGACCAAGAGGAUUAGAACGAGGUAGUAUCCUUCCGACGGGGAGGAGCCUUUACCGGAUGUGAAGUCGACGAAGCUUUGGAUGAGGACGGGACCGACGUAGAUGACGCUGAGGCGGAGGAUCGCUAGAACCGCCGUGAGAGCCACUUCUUUCCAGAAACAUCGGAGAAGAGUGGUUCUCACGGGGUUUCUCGAAUUCUCCUGAGGUUUAGGCCAUUUGGAUUCGAAGAGAGCCGCUAGCUUCUCGGCUCUGUGCUCCGGAGAGAGCGUCGGGACUUGAUCGAGGCUCAACGGAGACUUGUAGCCUUUGCUGAGUAACGGAUUCAUCCAUAUCCAGAACGUUUUCGAGAGAAACGACGCCGUUGCGUACAGAGACACGUUCUCUGAUGACUUCUCCAAAACGACGUCGUUUGACUUCGCCGGGAUCGCAACGCUGCUGGUGGUUACUAUUCCCGUUGAGCCUCUGAUGGAUACGAUGAGCAAGACGGCGGUUAGAGGGAAGGAGACGAAGGACGCGACGUCGUCGGAUCUUAGGCUCGCGGCGGAUGGAUCGCCGGAGAUGAGGUGGAGUAUCCCGGAGACGGCGAAAAGAGUGGUGACGAUGAAACUUGAGACCCAGUAGAUUCGUAACGUUAACGGAUGGUUGGUUGAUGCGAAUCUUUUCUCGUGGAGAACCAAAACGGCGAUGACGGCGUAAGUAACGGCGUGGAUUAGCCAGAACAGAGCGUCGACGAGUUUUAGUUUGGUACGUGUGGUGAAGGCCAAAACGCAGAGAACGAUUGAGCAAAACGACAGGAGAAUAGUGGCUACGACUGUCGUUUUGAACAAACCGGUUGUUCUGGUUACGGUUCUUCUUGCGAUCAGAGGCUUCCUGAUGUCAGCUUCUGUUGUAGUAGAAGAAGAGGAGCAGAGUUUGUGGAGAGCGAAGAAGGUUAGGAUGAUGAGGAAGAGUAGAUCGACGGCGGAGGAGNNNNNNNNNNNNNNNNNNNNNNNNNNNNNNNNNNNNNNNNNNNNNNNNNNNNNNNNNNNNNNNNNNNNNNNNNNNNNNNNNNNNNNNNNNNNNNNNNNNNNNNNNNNNNNNNNNNNNNNNNNNNNNNNNUAUAAUCUCUUUGGCUACACUUACCCGGUACCAAAUGUUGAGCCAUGCCAGAGGAAUCACGAAGAAAACAGUUGGCCAAGCAUAUUGGCAGGUUACUAUGAAGAUGCUGAGAAGAGUAGUAUACAUUGCAGCCACUAGUCCUAUCAUAAAGGGGAUGAAGAUAUCCACAUUGGUCUGAUCAGUAGAUGCCUGCAACAUAACAUAUACUAAUAACCGUUAAUUCUGGAAAUGAGUUAAAUCUCUGUGCACUAGUACAAAAAUACAUUCGCUUGAGCCGGACAAAUUCUAGAGUUUGUUUUAAACUUUGCGGUUAAUUUGCGUUUGUUCACAACAAUAACAAAGUUUGUCUCUCACCCGACUGAGAAUUCUUCCCGAUGGCGUGGUGUCGAAAAACGACAUUGGUGCGUGCACAAGACUGUUGAGAAUCUGUUUGAAGAAGAUCUGAGCAGUCUUGAGACCCAAGUGAGUGAUGUAAAAUGCCCUGAGGCAGACAAGAACAAUGGAUAGAGCAGCAAUAAUGAGGUAGACGCGGAUGAAGACUGAAGGGUCGAAUGAGACCGCGUUUUUAGCUGAUGUUUCGUAGGCGAGCCAAUAAUCGCUAGCCAUUAUAGAGCCUUGCCAAGCCAGAGAGAAGAAGAGAACAAGUAUCAUUCCCCACCAGCCGUAAGCUUCAGUUGAGUAUAGUUUGUAAACUUGAAAGCUCACUUGUCCCACUUCUCUUUCUUCGUCUUUGAUCAGUCUAGACCCAUCUUCAGGGAUGUUGGAGCCGAGGAAUGACUUGAUGUGUUCAUCGUUUAGCUCUCCUAAACGAGGAGACUCCAUUGAAGUAGUCCUCUGUAUUCUUGGAGAUUCGAGUGAAGUAGUUCUAUGUAUUUUUGGAGAUUUUGGUGUUGGUGGUUGACGAGGAGAUUCUAUUGAAAUUGAUCUUUGUGUUACUGGUGAUGUCGUUGGCACAUUUGCUGAGCCAGCUUCAACUAGCUCCAUUGAUGUCUCGUGCGCCGCUACCAAAGCUCCAAAAUCUAAACCACUGCUCACUAACUCGUCGUAUUUUCCGGAUUGCACAAUCAUUCCAUCUCUCAUAACCUGUGAAAAUGCAACCACUCAUUGGCAAAUAUAUUACAUCACAAAACCAAACAAAGUUUCUAUCGAACCGUACCAAGAUGCAAUCAACGUUGUGAAGGAAGUCUACUUGAUGAGUUACUAGCAAUACAGUCUUUCCUUUCAAUGCUCCUCUUACACAUUUCUGCACAAACAUCACCACAAAGAUAUAAUAAUCAGGUGUAUUGCUUUUGAUUUAAGUUCAAUAUUCAGACAGGGACCUUAGGUGGCUUACCUUAAAUAUGUCUGAACCGGUAUGAGCAUCCACGGCACUAAAGACAUCAUCAAGUAAAUACACAUCGGCUUCCUGAUAAACCGCACGUGCAAGCUGUAUCCUCUGCUUCUGUCCACCACUAAGGUUAAUCCCACGUUCCCCAAUCUCUGUCUGGUCUCCAAACUCCAUCAUCUGCAAAUCUUUGUCUAAACAACAAACCUUGAUAACUUCAUUGUACUUGUUUGAAUCCAUAGGAAGACCAAACAAAAUGUUGUCCUGAACCGUUCCAUUCUGAAUCCACGACGUCUGCGCUACAUAGGCCGUGUUCCCACACACCCGAACCUUCCCUGAGAUCUUAUGCAUUUCUCCAAGAACCGAAGCUAGCAACGAAGACUUCCCCGAUCCAACGGUCCCUACAAUAGCAGCGAGCUCUCCCUUCUUUACCUCAAAGUUUAUGUUCUCAAUCGCAGGCUCGUCGUCGUCGUCAUCCCAGCUGAAGCUCCCAUCUUUGAUCUCCACGGCGACAUUCCCUUCACCACACCCUUGGACCCUUUCCACAGUCUCUCCAGACAGCUCUCUGCUCGUCAUGUAAGCGUCGAGUCUCCCGAGAGAGAUCAUCGCCUGCGAGAGAGCGAUCAUCGACUGCGGAAACGUCCUGAUCGGUUCUUGCAGAAUCUUGAAGAUAGUGGUCGUGGUGAAAACCGUGCCCGCGUCAAGCUUGACUCCCAAGAAAACCGCCGUCGUGAAAGUGAGCGCGGAGAUCAAAACCGGCGUGCUCCAUAGCACGAUGAUGUUACCGGAGAUAGAGUAAAGAAACUUGGACAGCCACCCGAACUCCAUCUCUCUAAACUUGAGGAUCCUCUCGUUGAAAUGAUCCUCCCACGCUUGAAACUUGAUCACUCUCAUGUAGUUCAGCAUCUCAUUAGUGGCUUUCAUACGCGAGUCGCGGUUCAUCAUCAAGCUGAACUGAAACCUGUUGUUCCUCUUCGUCCCCAUGAGAAUGAACACGAAGAUUCCCGUUAAACCGAUGACCGUGGUCACAACAGAAGGUCCGAGGACACCGUAGAGAAGCACAAGAGCAACCGCCACUUGCAAAGGCAUUAGCCAGAUUGCGUGCAGCUGAAGCAUCAUAUCGGAGAGCUGCUGCGCAUCCACAGCCAUGUAGUUAACUAUCUGCCCCACGCCGUGGUUCUGACGAGCCGAGCCGGUUAGCUUCAACCCUUUCUUGUAUAAAGCUGUUAUCAGAGUCGAUCUUAUGAGCAUCCCUAGCUUCUGCGAGUUGAAGUUGAACUGGUGAGUGGCCAAGACUUCGACGAACUUGGCGACCAAGAGGAUUAGAACGAGGUAGUAUCCUUCCGACGGGGAGGAGCCUUUACCGGAUGUGAAGUCGACGAAGCUUUGGAUGAGGACGGGACCGACGUAGAUGACGCUGAGGCGGAGGAUGGCUAGAACCGCCGUGAGAGCCACUUCUUUCCAGAAACAUCGGAGAAGAGUGGUUCUCACGGGGUUUCUUGAAUUUUCCUGAGGUUUAGGCCAUUUGGAUUCGAAGAGAGCCGCUAGCUUCUCGGCUCUGUGCUCCGGAGAGAGCGUCGGGACUUGAUCGAGGCUCAACGGAGACUUGUAGCCUUUGCUGAGUAACGGAUUCAUCCAUAUCCAGAACGUUUUCGAGAGAAACG